This 484-nucleotide ribosomal RNA is filed under the name uncultured bacterium. RNAcentral's name for it is "partial 16S ribosomal RNA". It matches the Rfam family "Bacterial small subunit ribosomal RNA", at positions 30 to 507 of the family's 1533-position model. The record is from RNAcentral.
AUUGAACGCUGGCGGCAGGCCUAACACAUGCAAGUCGAGCGGAUGAAGGGAGCUUGCUCCUGGAUUCAGCGGCGGAAGGGUGAGUAAUGCCUAGGAAUCUGCCUGGUAGUGGGGGAUAACGUCUGGAAACGGGUGCUAAUACUGCAUACGUCCUGAGGGAGCUAGUGGGGGAUCUUCGGACCUCACGCUAUCAGAUGAGCCUAGGUCGGAUUAGCUAGUUGGUGGGGUAAAGGCCUACCAAGGCGACGAUCCGUAACUGGUCUGAGAGGAUGGUCAGUCACACGAGAACUGGGACACGGACCAUACUCCUACGGGAGGCAGCAGUGGGGAAUAUUGGACAAUGGGCGAGAGCCUGAUCCAGCCAUGCCACGUGUGUGGAGAAGGUCUUCGGAUUGGAAAGCACUUUAAGGUGUGGGGAAGGGCAGUAGGUUAAUACCUAGCGGUUUUGACGUUACCAACAAAAGAAGCACCGGCUAACUACGUG